GACGAACGCUGGCGGCGUGCUUAACACAUGCAAGUCGAACGGAAAGGCCCUGCUUUUGUGGGGUGCUCGAGUGGCGAACGGGUGAGUAACACGUGAGUAACCUGCCCUUGACUUUGGGAUAACUUCAGGAAACUGGGGCUAAUACCGGAUAGGAGCUCCUGCUGCAUGGUGGGCGCUGGAAAGUUUCGGUGGUUGGGGAUGGACUCGCGGCUUAUCAGCUUGCUGGUGGGGUAGUGGCUUACCAAGGCUUUGACGGGUAGCCGGCCUGAGAGGGUGACCGGCCACGGUGGGACUGAGAGACGGCCCAGACUCGUACGGGAGGCAGCGGGGGGGAAUAUUGCACAAUGGGCGGAAGCCGGAUGCAGCAACGCCGCGUGCGGGAUGACGGCCUUCGGGUUGUAAACCGCUUUAGCCUGUGACGAAGCGUGAGUGACGGUAAUGGGUAAAGAAGCACCGGCUAACUACGUG
This 468-nucleotide ribosomal RNA is filed under the name uncultured bacterium. RNAcentral's name for it is "partial 16S ribosomal RNA". It matches the Rfam family "Bacterial small subunit ribosomal RNA", at positions 28 to 507 of the family's 1533-position model. The record is from RNAcentral.